AUUGAACGCUGGCGGCAUGCCUUACACAUGCAAGUCGAACGGUAACAGGUCUUCGGAUGCUGACGAGUGGCGAACGGGUGAGUAAUACAUCGGAACGUGCCUAGUAGUGGGGGAUAACUACUCGAAAGAGUGGCUAAUACCGCAUGAGAUCUACGGAUGAAAGCAGGGGAUCGCAAGACCUUGUGCUAAUAGAGCGGCCGAUGGCAGAUUAGGUAGUUGGUGGGAUAAAAGCUUACCAAGCCGACGAUCUGUAGCUGGUCUGAGAGGACGAUCAGCGACACUGGGACUGGGAAACGGCCCAGACUCCUACGGGAGGCAGCAGUGGGGAAUUUUGGACAAUGGGCGCAAGCCUGAUCCAGCAAUGCCGCGUGCAGGAUGAAGGCCUUCGGGUUGUAAACUGCUUUUGUACGGAACGAAAAGCCCUGGGUUAAUACCCUGGGGUCAUGACGGUACCGUAAGAAUAAGCACCGGCUAACUACGUGCCAGCCGCCGCGGUAA
This 498-nucleotide ribosomal RNA is filed under the name uncultured bacterium. RNAcentral's name for it is "partial 16S ribosomal RNA". It matches the Rfam family "Bacterial small subunit ribosomal RNA", at positions 30 to 523 of the family's 1533-position model. The record is from RNAcentral.